GUUAAAGCAGAAAGCAGCACAGCAGGCAGCCUCUUCCAGUGGGCAGGGUCAGCAGGCCCAAACCCCCACAGGUUUCUAAGCAUGAAUUGAGGAACAGAAGAAGCAGAGCAGAUGAUCGGAGCAGCAUUUGUUUCUCCCCAAAUCUAGAAAUUUUAGUUCAUAUGUACACUAGCCAGUGGUUGUGGACAACCAUUUACUUGGUGUAAAGAACUUAAUUUCAGUAUAAACUGACUCUGGGCAGCAUUGGUGAUGCUGUAUCCUGAGUUGUAGCCUCUGUAAUUGUGAAUAUUAACUGAGAUAGUGAAACAUGGUGUCCGGUUUUCUAUUGCAUUUUUUCAAGUGGAAAAGUUAACUAAAUGGUUGACACACAAAAAUUGGUGGAGAAAUUGUGCAUAUGCCAAUUUUUUGUUAAAACCUUUUGUUUUGAACUAUACUGCUUUGAGAUCUCAUUUCAGAAGAACGGCAUGAACAGUCUUCAGCCACAGUUGUGAUGGUUGUUAAAUGCUCACAAUUGUGCAUUCUUAGGGUUUUUCCAUCCCUGGGGUUUGCAAGUUGUUCACUUAAAACAUUCUUAAAAUGGUUGGCUUCUUGUCUGCAAGCCAGCUGAUAUGGUAGCAACCAAAGAUUCCAGUGUUUGAGCAUAUGAAAGACUCUGCCUGCUUAAUUGUGCUAGAAAUAACAGCAUCUAAAGUGAAGACUUAAGAAAAACUUAGUGACUACUAGAUUAUCCUUAGGACUCUGCAUUAACUCUAUAAUGUUCUUGGUAUUAAAAAAAAAGCAUAUUUGUCACAGAAAUUUAGUUAACAUCUUACAACUGAACAUGUAUGUAUGUUGCUUAGAUAAAUGUAAUCACUGUAAACAUCUAUAUGAUCUGGGAUUUUGUUUUUAUUUUGAAAUGGGAGCUUUUUUGUUUACAAGUUCAUUAAAAACUAAAAACUGUUUCUGUAAGGAAAUGAGAUUUUUUUUAAACAACAAAAAAUGCCUUGCUGACUCACUAUUAAAUAAAAAUCUCCCCAAUUUUUUGAUAGACUACUUCAAGCCAUUUGUUACAUGGUAUUCCUUUGCAAGUCAAUUUAGGUUUCGUGUUAUAACUUUUCCUCUUUUUUUAAGAAAAAUGAAAAAAGUAAUUCUUUUGUCUGAAGGGGAAAGGCAUUCUUUCAUUUUUUUCUUUUUUUUUUUUUUUUUUUAUGACUUGCAGGCACAAUAUCUAGUACUGCAACUGCCAGAACUUGGUAUUGUAGCUGCUGCCCGCUGACUAGCAGCUGGACUGAUUUUGAAUAAAAAUGAAAGCAUUAAAGGGUUUCCCUACAAAACAUUUUUCUUUAAAAUACUUUUGAAAUGGCUAUAAGCAGUUGACUUUCACCCUUGGAGAGCAUCACACUGUGUGAGGUUCAGUGAUUGUUGACCCUCCCCAGCCCCUCCUGCUUCUUUAAGUUAUCUGUGUGCGUGCGCUUCCUCUCAAUCUUCUUUGCACGCUCAUUUCUUUUUCUCUGACCCAUGAGAAAGGAAAACUUACUGAUGAUAAUUUUUAAAUAGUGUAAUUUAUUCAUUUAUAGCAUGUCAGGAUAAAUUAAAAGAACAUUUGUCUGGAAAUGCUGCCGGGAGCCUAUUGUGUAAAUGUAGGUAUUUUGUAAAAUAACCUUGAAAUUGUAAAUUGACACGUGUUUGGUCAGAUUGUGUCAAGUUUAAUUUGUUUUGUUUUCUUUUUUCUUUUUUUUAUUUGAAAACUACUUUAGCAAUAAUUAAUUCCAUGAUUAUCACAUUCUGCCAUUAAGGGAUAUUAGUACCGUAAUACUGAAGAAAUUUUAUUAAGUCUGAACUUCUGGGGUAGGCAGCUUCUUUGUUUCUUUUCUAUCCACCCUUGUCGGUUGAGG
RNAcentral lists this long non-coding RNA (1874 nucleotides) under Homo sapiens (human). RNAcentral's name for it is "HSALNT0096091". The record is from RNAcentral. Lineage: Eukaryota; Metazoa; Chordata; Mammalia; Primates; Hominidae.